Molecule: ribosomal RNA, 374 nt
Filed under: uncultured bacterium
Lineage: Bacteria
Description: bacterial SSU rRNA
Rfam family: Bacterial small subunit ribosomal RNA
Source: RNAcentral
GACGAACGCUGGCGGCGUGCUUAACACAUGCAAGUCGAGCGGUAAGGCCCUUUUGGGGGUACACGAGCGGCGAACGGGUGAGUAACACGUGGGUGACCUGCCCUCAGCUCUGGGAUAAGCCUGGGAAACUGGGUCUAAUACUGGAUAUGACCUUUCCUCGCAUGGGGUUGGGUGGAAAGUUUUUCGGCUGGGGAUGGGCCCGCGGCCUAUCAGCUUGUUGGUGGGGUGAUGGCCUACCAAAGCGACGACGGGUAGCCGGCCUGAGAGGGCGACCGGCCACACUGGGACGUGAGACACGGCCCAGACUCCUACGGGAGGCGAGCAGUGGGGAAGUAUUGCGCAAUGGGCGGAAGCCUGACGCAGCGACGCCGCGU